AAAUAGGUAGGUUAUUUGAAACCUCUGGGUUGUGGUCUCAGGAAUACAGAAAAUGUCUUAUUUC
Molecule: transfer RNA, 64 nt
Filed under: Helobdella europaea
Lineage: Eukaryota; Metazoa; Annelida; Clitellata; Rhynchobdellida; Glossiphoniidae
Description: tRNA-His
Source: RNAcentral